This is a long non-coding RNA of Hyaena hyaena (striped hyena), 206 nucleotides long. RefSeq lists it as uncharacterized. Lineage: Eukaryota; Metazoa; Chordata; Mammalia; Carnivora; Hyaenidae. The transcript is spliced from 2 exons. The record is from RefSeq and is a predicted model, not a curated record.
UCGGGACGUCCACUCACCUUGGGCCCGCCUCAGCGCUGUUGGCCUCUCAGCCUUUGAUUUCCGCUUGGGUCCGCGAGCUGCGGUCGGCCAGAGAAGGGAUACCUGGCACUUUGACUCCUGUGACGCGUUCUCUGACAUAAACUCCCUGAAGACAGUUUCUACUGAAUUAUCUGCCUACUUUCUGAUAAAACUUUCACUGACCUUCA